RNAcentral lists this ribosomal RNA (399 nucleotides) under uncultured amoeba. Its description in RNAcentral is "SSU rRNA". It matches the Rfam family "Eukaryotic small subunit ribosomal RNA", at positions 790 to 1186 of the family's 1831-position model. The record is from RNAcentral.
AACAGGCGUAAAAGGCCUCCGAAUACGUUAGCAUGGGAUAAUGGAAUACGACUUCGGUCUUGUUUCGUUGGUUUCGCUUGGCUGAAGUAAUGAUUGAUAGGGACAGUUGGGGGCAUUAGUAUUUAGUUGUCAGAGGUGAAAUUCUAGGAUUUACUAAAGACUGACCAAUGCGAAAGCAUUUGCCAAGGAUGUUUUCAUUAAUCAAGAACGAAAGUAGGGGGAUCGAAGACGAUCAGAUACCGUCGUAGUCUCUACCGUAAACUAUGCCGACCAGGGAUCCGGAGAGUUUGCAUGGAUGACUCCCCGGGCACCUUGUGAGUAAUCAUAAGUGUUUGGGUUUUGGGGGGAGUAUGGUCGCAAGGCUGAAACUAAAGGAAUGACGAAGGAAAAACCRWAGCC